UACAGAGGGUGCGAGCGUUAAUCGGAAUUACUGGGCGUAAAGGGUGCGUAGGUGGUUUAAUAAGUCAGAUGUGAAAUCCCCGGGCUCAACCUGGGAACUGCAUUUGAAACUAUUAGGCUAGAGUACGGUAGAGGGAAGUGGAAUUUCCGGUGUAGCGGUGAAAUGCGUAGAUAUCGGAAGGAACAUCAGUGGCGAAGGCGACUUCCUGGACCGUAACUGACACUGAGGCACGAAAGCGUGGGGAGCAAACAGG
This 253-nucleotide ribosomal RNA is filed under the name uncultured prokaryote. RNAcentral describes it as "partial 16S ribosomal RNA". It matches the Rfam family "Bacterial small subunit ribosomal RNA", at positions 524 to 776 of the family's 1533-position model. The record is from RNAcentral.